UUCUUUCCUUCCUUCCUUCCUUCCUUCCUUCCUUCCUUCCUUCCUUCCUUCCUUCCUUCCUUUCCUUCCUUCCAGCUGUUGGUCCGGCCACUAUUUCUUGAGCACUGUGGUAGGCACAACCUGAGAUGCCCCACGGCAUCACCUGGUAGAUGCCCCUCACAAAAUCCCCUUCGGAGUGUUGAGUGUGUGUCAAGUGUCAGGGGAGCAACUGCACAUGACAGGGUAGUAGGACCCCUGCCAACAGGCUACCAAAGAGCUGGUUCUCAGCUAACCAAUCAGAGGAGACCCGUAGAAGAAGGUAAAACAUCCAAGAGGUUGUCCUGCUGGCCUCAACAGAGCAGAAUGCCACUGGGUGUAGAGGGCACCGACCUGAGAGCGACCCCCGCAGGGCACCGACCUGAGAGCGACCCCCAUCAGCCAACAACAAGCAAGGAAACGGGGGCCUCGAUCCUUCAAGCAGCAUGAAGUGUAUCCUGCCAACAGCAUGCAUGAACACGAAAAGGACCCUGAGUUUCGGGGGAGAUGGCAGCCCAGCCCUGAGCUCACCCAAGAGACACUGAGCAGAGAACUCAGCCACCCUGUGGCCAGGUGCCUGGCCUAUCCAGAGUGGGAGAGAACAAGUGCUGAGUUUGUGGUGACCUGCUAACACGGCAACAGACAUACAGGCACCUAAGUUAGUUCUGGGUUCCACAGACCUAAUUCCACCUGCUUUUUAUUCUUUUCUCAGAGAAGUGUGCCCAAUCUCCUCCCUCCCAUCUGCCCAACCAAUCUCACCCCAUCCACACAAUAGCCAGCUAAAUGUUUUUGAUGAGUCGACAACUCCACACCAAUUCUGUACAAUUCACGCAAAACUUAAGGAAACACUCCAUGCUUUCAGUAACCUGUGGCUUUUACAAAUAAUGAAAACUGCUUCAUACCUCUAUGUUCGAUAUGAUGAUAGAGCACAAGCCCUUAACUCUUAGAAAUAAGGACACAGGCUCAGAGUUUAAAGACCAAUUUUUAAUUCACAGACUUUAGUUUUUACACAUAUCAAAAAUACACAUUUAUACUUAACAUAAUGUUACAAAUCUUAACCUAUAUACAUGCUUAACAUUCUGGUAUUCUAUUUUCUCUUUCAUUUAAAAAUUGAUGGCAAGUCCUAUUUCCUGAGUCUUUAUUAUUCUUCCACAGUUACCACUUCCAUAUCUGGAUGCAUUAGGGUCAAGCCCCCAGAAAAUAGCUCAAAGGCAAUCAGUUUUGUCUGCUGAGAUGUAUUUUACUUAUGGAUUCCUUCCAUUCUGUUUUUUCCAUAAAUCUCACUUAUUUUUUGUUUGGUAUUGCCUGCCAGUGACUUGUAGCUCAUCCAUAAAAGCAUGCAGCCAGCCAUCCUUCAAAGGUACCCUCUAUCCUUUAAAAAUAGGAUAAAAGCAAACUUUUAGGAUGGUGCUAACAUUAUAGACAUCAUCUUCGGCAUCGCUUUUAGCAUGUACUUCACUUUAUUCUGUCUUCACCAAAAGAUCAGAGGUUAACAUAGCUGUACCUCCUGUUACUCCAGGAGCAGCCUAAGUUCUGAAGCAGCUUGUAACUCAUCAGCUCUGCUCCAUUAUAAAUUCUAUAAGAAAGACAAAUGAAAAAAAAAUAAUAAAUAAAUAAAUAAAUAAAUAAAUAAAUAAAUAAAUAAAUAAAUAAAUAAAAAAAAAAGAAAGACAAAUGCUGGAAUUUCUACUUAAAAUAAGCAAUGGUGAUAUGGUUAACCUGAGGUUGAAAUAGGAUACUGGCCUCACAUACUUUCUGAAAAUCAAUAUAUGAUAAUUACUGUUUCUUCUUGCAUAAAAAA
This 1816-nucleotide long non-coding RNA is filed under the name Canis lupus familiaris (dog). Its description in RNAcentral is "lncRNA (ENSCAFG00845016206.1)". The record is from RNAcentral. Lineage: Eukaryota; Metazoa; Chordata; Mammalia; Carnivora; Canidae.